Molecule: ribosomal RNA, 433 nt
Filed under: uncultured bacterium
Lineage: Bacteria
Description: partial 16S ribosomal RNA
Rfam family: Bacterial small subunit ribosomal RNA
Source: RNAcentral
AACGAACGCUGGCGGCAUGCCUAACACAUGCAAGUCGAACGAGACCUUCGGGUCUAGUGGCGCACGGGUGCGUAACGCGUGGGAACCUGCCCUUAGGCUCGGAAUAACUCCCCGAAAGGGGUGCUAAUACCGGAUAAUGUCUUCGGACCAAAGAUUUAUCGCCUUUGGAUGGGCCCGCGUUGGUUUAGCUAGGUGGUAGGGUAAAAGCCUACCAAGGCGACGAUCCAUAGCUGGUCUGAGAGGAUGAUCAGCCACACUGGGACUGAGACACGGCCCAGACUCCUACGGGAGGCAGCAGUGGGGAAUAUUGGACAAUGGGCGAAAGCCUGAUCCAGCAAUGCCGCGUGAGUGAUGAAGGCCUUAGGGUUGUAAAGCUCUUUUACCCGGGAUGAUAAUGACAGUACCGGGAGAAUAAGCUCCGGCUAACUCCGUG